This 253-nucleotide ribosomal RNA is filed under the name uncultured bacterium. RNAcentral's name for it is "partial 16S ribosomal RNA". It matches the Rfam family "Bacterial small subunit ribosomal RNA", at positions 524 to 776 of the family's 1533-position model. The record is from RNAcentral.
UACAGAGGGUGCGAGCGUUAAUCGGAAUUACUGGGCGUAAAGCGCGCAUAGGCGGCUUUGCAAGUCGGGUGUGAAAUCCCCAGGCUUAACCUGGGAACUGCAUUCGAGACUGCAUUGCUAGAGUAUGGGAGAGGGAAGUGGAAUUUCCGGUGUAGCGGUGAAAUGCGUAGAUAUCGGAAGGAACAUCAGUGGCGAAAGCGACUUCCUGGACCAAUACUGACGCUCAUGUGCGAAAGCGUGGAGAGCAAACAGG